GGCCGGUUAGCUCAGUCAGUUGAGCGUGGCACUAACACUGCCAAGGUCGUGGGUUCAAUUCCCGUUCCAUCCC
Non-coding RNA from Apaloderma vittatum (bar-tailed trogon), 73 nucleotides. NCBI's taxonomy places the organism in Eukaryota, Metazoa, Chordata, Aves, Trogoniformes, Trogonidae. The record is from Rfam.